This 497-nucleotide ribosomal RNA is filed under the name uncultured bacterium. RNAcentral describes it as "partial 16S ribosomal RNA". It matches the Rfam family "Bacterial small subunit ribosomal RNA", at positions 28 to 507 of the family's 1533-position model. The record is from RNAcentral.
GAUGAACGCUGGCGGCGUGCCUAAUACAUGCAAGUCGAGCGAACGGACGAGAAGCUUGCUUCUCUGACGUUAGCGGCGGACGGGUGAGUAACACGUGGAUAACCUACCUAUCUGACUGGGAUAACUUCGGGACACCGGAGCUAAUACCGGAUGAUAUUUUGAACCGCAUGGUUCAAAAGUGAAAGACGGUCUUGCUGUCACUUCUAGCUGGAUCCGCGCUGCAUUAGCUAGUUGGUAAGGUAACGGCCUACCAAGGCAACGAUGCGUAGCCGACCUGAGAGGGUGAUCGGCCACACUGGAACUGAGACACGGUCCAGACUCCUACGGGAGGCAGCAGUAGGGAAUCUUCCGCAAUGGGCGAAAGCCUGACGGAGCAACGCCGCGUGAGUGAUGAAGGUCUUCGGAUCGUAAAGCUCUGUUAUUAGGGAAGAACAGAUGUGUAAGUAACUGUGCACGUCUUGACGGUACCUAAUCAGAAAGCCACGGCUAACUACGUG